Molecule: transfer RNA, 85 nt
Filed under: Anaerolineales bacterium HSG24
Lineage: Bacteria; Bacillati; Chloroflexota; Anaerolineae; Anaerolineales
Also listed under: 1 other name
Description: tRNA-Leu
Rfam family: tRNA
About the family: Transfer RNA (tRNA) molecules are approximately 80 nucleotides in length. Their secondary structure includes four short double-helical elements and three loops (D, anti-codon, and T loops).
Source: RNAcentral
GGGGCUGUGUCGGAAUUGGCAGACGAGCUAGACUUAGGAUCUGGUGCCGCGAGGCGUGAGGGUUCGAAUCCCUCCAGCCCCACCA